UCCUUAUUAGCAAUCUCAUUAACGAAUGAUAGGUCGACACUACAAGCGCAUUUAGUCUUGAUCGGCUUAAUAUGGCAUUAUAGGCUGACGGGACUUUCACGACCAAAAACCUGAGCUAAUGGUUGAUUGUUAUGGUGCUCAUCUUGUUGUUAUCGACAAAGUCACACCCUCUCCAUGGGCAUAGCAUCUACAGAGAAACCC
RNAcentral lists this long non-coding RNA (201 nucleotides) under Elaeis guineensis (African oil palm). RNAcentral describes it as "long non-coding RNA (EGUI_LNC079901)". The record is from RNAcentral. Lineage: Eukaryota; Viridiplantae; Streptophyta; Magnoliopsida; Arecales; Arecaceae.